CCCGCCCCGGCCCCUCCGGCUGCGCCUCCCUCGCCCCGCGCCUCCCACCCCGGGGCUGGGCCGGGCCCAGGAGCGGACGAGCCUGUGGGUCCUCGACGGCCGCUCAGCGCCAGCCCGGGCCGUCCCCGGAGCCCACUCUGCCGGCCGCACCGCCCCUGGGUGCCCUCGGCUCCUCAAACUCGGCCCAGACGGACCCCUCGCUCCGCCCGGAGGCGCCACCAGCCCUGGGGCUGCAGCCCAGAGCUGGGCGCCAGGCCUGGGCCGGCCCGCCCCGUCCCCGCCGGGUCCCCGGCCUUCCCAACCCUCCGGGUGCGCUCGGCUCGCGGCCUUGGUGCCACGCGGACGCUUCUGUCGGGGGCCCCCAGCCCGGGUGCGGGACCUGCUGUUUCCACGCACGGGGCUGGCUCCGGGAUCUCAGCUCAGAGAAGCCUCUGACCGCCUUGCAGGCCACGCCCCGUUAGGGAACCUGUCACGGUCACUGCCAUUCCCCAGGCCUCCUUGAGCGCCCACCGCGGGCCGGGCCUGUCCUGGGCUCCCAGCUCUGCCCUCACGGAGCUGACCGUUUUGUACAAAGCACAGCAACCAUUUACACAGCGCUCACUUCGUGCAGGCCCGUGGGUCCUCACAACCUCCAAAAAGGCGGCCCCGGGGUCGGGGAGACCUUCGGGAACAAGGGACCCUCUCGGACCUGAAGCUCGCUCGCAAGGCGCUGAGUGCAGAGUGAGGCCGGGUGCGGGCUGCGCCUUCUGAGAGGGAGGCAGUCCGCACAGUUCCGAGCAGAGGCGCGUAGGCCUCUGAAGGGUCCCUCGGGCUGCCGUGUGGAGUGUGGACUGCAGGAGGCUGGGGUGCUGAAUCACUUAGGAUGCAUUCAGAGGCGAACAACCCGCUUCCCAGCUAGCAGCAGCUUGCACGAUGCCAUUGUGAUCUCACUGAAUACGAAGCCACCAUCUCUCCUCCCUCCAAAAUCCCCACAUACACUUUCUGCCUUCCUGCCUGUUGCCUCAUGCCCCAGGGUGGCUGUCAUAGCACAGGGCAUCACACCGCUACACCAGCAUCUCAAACGGGAAGGAAGUGGCAGGUGUACAAAGGAUGACCACUUUGUGAAUCAGUUCCAGUUCCUGCGUCCUCCCCUUGUUCCUGCCAGCGGGGGAUGGCAUCACGCAGGCAUGGUGAAUCCUGGCCCUUGGGACUUCCCUGCGCCUUGCACAGAUCGCACAGAUUGUGGUAGAUGGUCCCUUGCAAGUGUCAUCCUGCCUGAUGCAUCACCACCGAGGAAGCGACCGAAGUCAGAGACAGAGGAUGCUGCCACUCCCCAAGAAUGAAGCCGGUAGGGGAUAUUAUUGGACUUCGUAUGUGAUGGCAAUGACUCAACAGAAAGAAAAAUUGCUGAUGCAAGAAAAAGAGUGUCUUGCCUCGUCCAGGCAAGAGGGCAUCAGACUUGGGACAGCUCACUCGAGGCAGGGAAAGAAAAGCGGGUCGCACGAUUGCAGGCACAGGCACUAGGGCUCUGUGGAAGACACAGAGGAUCCCAGCAUCCAAGCACGGUGCAGCCCCUCCCGGACUUCCGCAUCUCAGAGGUCAUCACUGUCCAGAAUUUUGUGUUCACCGUUCCCUUUCUCUCUGUACAUCUACGUGCAAUUUAUUGUGCAGUUGUACAUGCUUUUGAAAUUCAUUUCUUUUUAAAAAAAAUAAAAAGUCUCGAUCUGUUGCCCAUGCUGGAGUGCAGUGGUGCCAUCUCAGCUUGCUACAACCUCUACCUCCUGGGUGUAAGCAAUUCUUGUGCCUCAGUCUCUGAGUAGCUGGGACUAUAGGAGUGCGCCACCACAACUGGCUAAUUUUUUGUAUUUUCAUAGAAGACAGGGUUUUACCAUGUUGUCCAGGCUGGUCUCGAACUCCUGAGCUUAGGCAAUCCGCCCACCUGGGCUUCCCAAAGUGCGGGGAUUACAGGUGUGAGCCACCUCGCCCAGUCCCAUGCUUUUGAAAUUCACACAAGAGAGCUAAGCUGUCGUCCUGUGGUGCUGCAGCGCACUGUGUUGUUGGGUGUAGCUGUGAAUCACUUGUUUUCACCACAUAUGUUAGUCUGUCGUGUGACAAUUUAUUGAUCCAUUCUACUUUGACGGAGAUUUGUGCUGCUGUCCAAUUCCUGCCAUUUCAAUUCUCCAAUGAACAUUUAAUGUCAUUCUCCUGGUGCUUGGACAAGAGCCUGCAGGUCUAACCCGAGGAGAGAAAUUGCUGGGCCAUGGGACGUGCCUCUCGACCUCACUGGAUGCUGCUAACUUAGGGCCCGAAGUGCAGCGAUGACCGUCCCGCAGCACCACACAGACCCUAGCUCGCUUGGCAUUGUCUCCAACACUCUAGUGUUAUCAGCCUUCAUGUUUUUGUCAGUCUGGUAGGCAUUUCAGGUCCCUCACUCUGUUUUAAUCUGCUUUUUCCUGCUCACUAAUGGAGUAGGGCAUUUUCUCACAUUCCUUGCCCAUUCACGUCUUCCCCUUUGCCAAAACGCCUGUUCAAAUCUUCCACCCACUUUUCAACUGGAUUCUGUCUCUCCUUCUGAUUGACUUGUCGAAGUCCUUACAUGUUCUGGGCACAAAUCCUCCAUCAGAUGUGUAUAGUUGCAGUAUCUUCUCUCACUCUGUGAUUUGUCUUUUGCUUAUUUCAUGAUUCUUUUGAUAUGUAGAAGUUCCUCAUUAUACUGUAACCGAAAU
RNAcentral lists this long non-coding RNA (2705 nucleotides) under Homo sapiens (human). RNAcentral describes it as "HSALNT0355528". The record is from RNAcentral. Lineage: Eukaryota; Metazoa; Chordata; Mammalia; Primates; Hominidae.